This 408-nucleotide ribosomal RNA is filed under the name uncultured bacterium. RNAcentral describes it as "partial 16S ribosomal RNA". It matches the Rfam family "Bacterial small subunit ribosomal RNA", at positions 30 to 526 of the family's 1533-position model. The record is from RNAcentral.
AUUGAACGCUGGCGGCGUGCCUAAUACAUGCAAGUCGAACGAAGCGGCGCACGGGUGGGUAAUAUAUAGUUAAUCUGCCCUACACAGAGGAACAACAGCUGGAAACGACUGCUAAUACCUCAUAGUGCAGGAUGAGACUAUAUCGUAUCAGCUAGUUGGUAAGGUAAUGGCUGACCAAGGCGAUGACGCGUAACUGGUCUGAGAGGAUGAUCAGUCACCUUGUAACUGAGACACGGUCCAAACUCCUACGGCAGGCAGCAGUAAGGAAUAUUGCGCAAUGCGGGAAACCCUGACGCAGCAACGCGGUGUGGAGUAUGAUCCUUUUCGGAGCGUAAACUCCUUUUAUCAGGAAAGCGGUACCUGAUGAAUAAGCACCGGCUAACUCCGUGCCAGCAGCCGCGGUAAUAC